UGGGGAAUUUUGGACAAUGGGCGAAAGCCUGAUCCAGCAAUGCCGCGUGUGUGAAGAAGGCCUUCGGGUUGUAAAGCACUUUUGUCCGGAAAGAAAUCCUUGGCUCUAAUACAGUCGGGGGAUGACGGUACCGGAAGAAUAAGCACCGGCUAACUACGUGCCAGCAGCCGCGGUAAUACGUAGGGUGCAAGCGUUAAUCGGAAUUACUGGGCGUAAAGCGUGCGCAGGCGGUUUGCUAAGACCGAUGUGAAAUCCCCGGGCUCAACCUGGGAACUGCAUUGGUGACUGGCAGGCUAGAGUAUGGCAGAGGGGGGUAGAAUUCCACGUGUAGCAGUGAAAUGCGUAGAGAUGUGGAGGAAUACCGAUGGCGAAGGCAGCCCCCUGGGCCAAUACUGACGCUCAUGCACGAAAGCGUGGGGAGCAAACAGGAUUAGAUACCCUGGUAGUCCACGCCCUAAACGAUGUCAACUAGUUGUUGGGGGAUUCAUUUCCUUAGUAACGUAGCUAACGCGUGAAGUUGACCGCCU
RNAcentral lists this ribosomal RNA (527 nucleotides) under uncultured bacterium. RNAcentral describes it as "partial 16S ribosomal RNA". It matches the Rfam family "Bacterial small subunit ribosomal RNA", at positions 355 to 874 of the family's 1533-position model. The record is from RNAcentral.